Molecule: long non-coding RNA, 3321 nt
Organism: Anopheles merus
Lineage: Eukaryota; Metazoa; Arthropoda; Insecta; Diptera; Culicidae
Exons: 4
Source: RefSeq, a predicted model, not a curated record
GUCCGUAGCGGAGAGCAGAACGCAAAUUUUUCUCGCGAGUCUAUUUUUAAUAAUAAAAAAAAACUUUUCCCUUCCGUGCGGCGUGCACGGCAGCUGUGUUGUGUUGUUGAGUUGUUAAAUUUGCAAUCGCACUUAAUUCAGCUCUUAGCAACCGUAAAGGGUUGUUGUGAGGUUUGCCUUUUUGCCGGAACACCUCAACUAGGAAGCGUGUCAGAUAUUUUUGUUUUCAAAGCAAAGGGCGAUGGUAAUGCAUCGAAAUGUACAGUGGCUGAAGCUUGGUGUACAGAGAUUCGCAUAGCGUUGAUGUGUGCAAAGUGUCAGUGAGCAAAAUUGUUGUGAAAGAUGAUUCUUUGCAAUUCGAUGGUUCACAUUAGCCACCCUUUACAUUCCAUAAGCACGCAAAAACGAGUCAUUAUUUGCGAGGCGUGUUAUAUACAUUGAAGUUGUGGGAGAGAUGAAAACCCGUGUGACAAACAGCGAAUCAAAAAGAAUUGAAAGAUAUUUCAGUGUGACACAUAGCGUGAGAUAGAGAGAGAAAGAGCGAGAGAGCGUUUGCCUGGCAAUUCAGAUUAGGAAUAAGUUUGGGUGAAAUAAGCGAGACGAAGUGAGGAAGGCAAUCAAAAAAGGAAAACAAACCAACUAUUCAGCUUGGUCGUACCUUCCACUUUCCGAUUCCCAUGUAAAUAAAAGGCAAAACGAUAGAUUUUGCGUUCACGAGACCGGUUUUUGUCAAAUAACCUGUCGCUGUUUUACCCCAAUGUAGUGUAGUGAUAGAAAACAAAGGAAUUAAUAUAUUUCAGACACCGUUGUAAUUAUUCCAUAAUGUUGUAAUACUGCACAAUUGUUUUUGGUGUAGAUUUUACCAUCAACAUUAGAGCAGAAGGUCACAAGAAAGAGUCGUUUUGCAGAAAGAGAAACUUUUUUCGUUGCCAAGAUGUUUGUAUCGUGUGCGGGAUUUGUGGUUGCGUGUGCGCGCGCAGAUGUGUCUUGGCAUUCGCAGUUGUGUAUCUCCGAGGCGAAUAGUGCACAGAAAUGCUAUAUCAAUGACAAAAAUUUGUUUUGCUAAAAUUGUUCAAAAAGCUCAAAUUUGCAAAUGUUUGUUUGGGUUUUAUCUGACCCGUUAAGAUCAUUUGUAAUGAAUAGACAUUAAAAAAAUAAACACACAAUUUUGGUUCAACUUUAAGAACAGAAAACAACGAAUUAUACGCCACACAUUUUGUUUCCAGCUUUGGAUGUGGUCAUUUUUCGUCAUUGCUUUAUACUACUUCUACCAUUUUUUAUUUCAUUUUUAUGCUGCUUUAGAAUGAAUCAAUGAGUUAUCGAAUGUUUAUGUAUUCAUAUUUAUUUAUCAAAGCUACUUUUAAAGCUACAGUCUGUGAAAUAUUUGUUUGUUUAUAAAAAAUCGAUUUAAAAAAAAUUCUCAAUAUUUGUGCAUAACAAAUAAAUAAAAAAUGUCCACUAUUGAAAUAACAACAUAUCAGCCCAAUGUGCAACCCCUGUGCGCUUUCCGAACAACAUCGACGGGGUUGUUGCGUACGCCACCCCAUUUCAGUCGCAUCGAUUCGUCCGUACACUCAAGUUCGCGCUAGUGUUUUGCGUACGUGUUUCAUGUCGCAUUGAAAACCGGGCGGGCGACUUCGAUUGACUUUUCUUAGUAGUAGAAAGUUUACUGAAUCCUAAAGCAGGUACACAUAAUAUCGCAAAAAAGCGUCAAAUCAUUUGCGGACGAUUUGGUAACGCAUAGUUGUGAUGGUUGUGAAAUUAAUCAAACCGUUGUUCUGCUCAACAAAUGAGGGUCAGUUUGUCGAACGCCAAAGUAAAACAUUUCGAUAGUGGAACAGGGGUGGUUUUUGUUUUGUUUUUUUUUGUGUCGCUGCUGUCGCUUCUGUUGCUUCCGUCGAGGCACAAUGCUAAUCGUGUCAGUGUGGCAGCAUUCUGUGACCCGCUAGUCGCUCGCAGUGAAUAUUUGUGUUGUUUUGAUUUUGUGGGCACUUGCUCGAAUUCAAAAGUGAAGGGCCGUUCAAGUACUGGCUUUGUCAGUGGUCGUGUCCUAGGGGGAGAGGUUAGUGUGCCGUGCACGAAGUUGGGCUGGCAGCGAAAAGUGUCGCUGGAAUGAAGGAGAGCAAAUCCAACCAUCGUGAACUUUGCAGCAUCCGUGUCAAGCGCUGUGCUGAGUGUGUGUGUGUGCGCACUGUGUCUUGUGCAGCUGUGAAACCAAAUAAUUGUCUCUACCAUAUCAUAUUGCAAUCCAGGCGGGCACCGUGGCACGGUGGUUGUGCUGAUUAGAGUGAGUGUGCAAACAUGCCACGACUGGUGUGAUGUUCCGUGGUGCUAGAAGUGUCGAAAAAAGUAAAAAAAUAGAUAGCUGGCAAAAGAAAUAAAUACAAUCGCACAUCAAGUGCUGUUUGCUGUGCUUGACGCGGGUGUGCGAUGUACGGUGGCGCGGUGUGGCAGUGCCUGGCGGGGCAGAAUUGAUAAGAAGUGUAAACAUCGCGAGUUUCUACGGCGCGCGAGGCUCUCGCGUGCGAUUUUCCUUUCCUCGUGCUGCGGCGUGUGUCGUGCCCUGCGUUUGAAAUCGAGCAUCGAGGGUAAUUGCAGUGCGCGUGUGUGAGUGUAGAAGCAUCUUGUGAACUUGACCGGAAGAUAGCAGAAUCGAUCUCUCCCCGUCCGAAGGCAUCUUAUGCUGGUAUUGAUGUGGUGAAUAGUUGCAUUUGUGUGUAUGUGUGAUGUGUGAAGGGGCCUGAUGUGAAAAGCAAGAGAUAAAAAAAUAACAGGAAACCGUGAGUCGACAGGAGGACAACGUUAAUUCAGACGCGUACAUUUGCCUUAGUUCAAGAUGGCUACUUCACCGGCAAAGAAUCCUCUCCCUGUCAUCACGCUAAACAGUGCGAAUUUCAAUGAUUGUAAGGAUCUUGACUCGAUCACCUUCGUAGAUACCGUCGCAUUCUUUCCUUUCGCAACUUGUUACCGUCCGACCAGCGAUGACAUCGACAACGAUCGCACCGGUUGCACCGACAGCGCCAACGCUGGUCGCUCCCUCUACCACAGCCGUCCUGCCGUCUUCGUGCCGUUCUGCCGUGCCGGUGGUUACAAUUCGCAGUGCUGAGCUGCCAAAUACCGGCGACGGUACGGGUGGUACAAACGGUGGUCGUUUGAUACGCAGGAAGGAGUUUCUGGGCGAGUCCAAUCGUACCACAUCGCUAAAGACACUGUCGUGUGAUUUGAGUGAGAUUCUGGUGAAAAAUCUAAGCCUGAGACGCAGCGAAACGUCCGAACGGCGCCCACACGCCGACACACUCGAGCAGCUCGAGCCAGCGACGU